UUUAUACCCCGCCCAUCCGGCUGGGUUUCCCCAGCCACUCUGGGCGGCUUACAGCACAUAUAAAAACAUAGUAAAACAUUAUUUUAAAACAUAUAUUUAACGCUGUACUGUUUUUAACACUUGAUUGGCAGCCGCCCAGAGUGGCUGGGGAAGCUCAGCCAGAUGGGCGGGGUAUAAAUAAUAAAUUAUUAUUAUUAUUAUUAUUAUUAGGCAUUAAAAAUUUAAUGCAUUCAUCUCCUGUCCUAUAUAUACUGUAUAUAUAUCUCUCUCUAUGUGUAAUACUCUAUAUAUAUGCACAUAUAUUCACACACAGAGAGUUAAAAGCAGGUAUUAAAAGUAUUUUUUAAAAAGUGAUUAAAAUCAGCAGCAGCUGAAACACACACAAACCUAGUCUGUUCAGGUCUGGACAGGGCUUGUUAUUAUACUUAGCCAAAACUAUACAGUACACCUUGACCCUCCCGAGAAUAUAAAACAAAAAUUACAUUUUCUAUUAUUUUUCACAAGUCAGGCGCUGGGAUUAAAUAAUAUUUCAAGGAGAUGAAAACCACCAGCAGUUGAAAACAACGCCCCCCCCCAAAAAAUCACACACCCUCAGGAAUCGCUGAGGGAAGCUCGUGAGGGGAAGGACUACGCUUCCCAUGAUGCUCCGCGCGGCAGGGGAAAAAGGGCGGGAAAAGUCUCGACGGAGGCUGCGCGUGAGGGAAGGAGCCCUAGGCGCAUGCGCCAGGUUUGGGAAGGGAAAGAGGCGACGGAGAGGAGGAAGGAGGAGCGCAUGCGCCCGGCCGCCCCGCGCUGCUUUUUCCCGGCGGCCCUCGGGAGGUCUCCUCCUUGCCUGGCUUGGGCGCCGCUCUCUCUCUCUCUCUCUCUCUCUCUUCUCCUCAGGCCGCCGCGUAAAGCUUUUCCGGGUCUCCCCCCCUCUCUCUCUAGGCCCCGCCCCCUUUCCGCGACCCCUCCCCCACCCGCCGCUGGUGAUGUGAUGAGUCCGGAGCGGUUCCUCAGCAGGCUGCCUGCCUCUCCCUCCUGGAUGUGGCCCGUGGACCCGGGACCCUUCAGCUGA
This 1057-nucleotide long non-coding RNA is filed under the name Podarcis muralis (Common wall lizard). RNAcentral's name for it is "lncRNA (ENSPMRG00000012363.1)". The record is from RNAcentral. Lineage: Eukaryota; Metazoa; Chordata; Lepidosauria; Squamata; Lacertidae.